UACGUAGGGGGCAAGCGUUGUCCGGAAUUACUGGGCGUAAAGCGUGCGCAGGCGGUCCGCAAAGUCUGAUGUGAAAGCCCCGGGCUCAACCUGGGAACUGCAUUGGAAACUAACGGGCUCGAGUGUGGCAGAGGGGGGUGGAAUUCCACGUGUAGCAGUGAAAUGCGUAGAGAUGUGGAGGAACACCGAUGGCGAAGGCAGCCCCCUGGGCUAACACUGACGCUCAGGCACGAAAGCGUGGGGAGCAAACAGG
Molecule: ribosomal RNA, 253 nt
Filed under: uncultured bacterium
Lineage: Bacteria
Description: partial 16S ribosomal RNA
Rfam family: Bacterial small subunit ribosomal RNA
Source: RNAcentral